This 200-nucleotide unclassified non-coding RNA is filed under the name Scleromitrula sp. RNAcentral describes it as "partial internal transcribed spacer 2". The record is from RNAcentral. Lineage: Eukaryota; Fungi; Ascomycota; Leotiomycetes; Helotiales; Sclerotiniaceae.
UUAAGUUCAGCGGGUAUCCCUACCUGAUCCGAGGUCAACCAUAGAAAAUUGGGGGGGUUUUGGCCAGAGGCACGCCGGGACCAGUAGCGAGGGUAUGUUACUACGCUCAGGACCACAGCGGCUCCGCCACUAAUUUUAGGGCCUGCCAUCGCUAGCAAGAGAGCCCAAGACAAGCAGAGCUUGAGGGUUGAAAUGACGCU